Molecule: non-coding RNA, 319 nt
Organism: Pelobates cultripes (western spadefoot toad)
Lineage: Eukaryota; Metazoa; Chordata; Amphibia; Anura; Pelobatidae
Source: the annotation of a GenBank genome assembly
GGAAGUGUUGCUGGGAAGGUUGAGAUUUUGUUUUCAUCCCUGCAUUACUGUCAUGCCCCGAGAGUAUAAUUGGUACUUUUGCGUGAAUCCAACUAUCAGCGAGUUGUCUGCAAUAUACUGCAUGGGUUUUCAUAUCAAUAACCAGAUGCUAGGUUUACGCCCCUCUGCACUCAAUAAGACUUAGAAUUGCGGGUACAGGCUACAAUAGACAACCUGGGAACUGUAGCCGAGUUGGGUAAUUUUGGAGAAUACCUGACAUAUUAUUGGUUCCUGAAUUAUUGAGAUAACUUGUUUAAGGUAGCACAGUUACUUUUCGUAA